Triticum urartu is the source of this 134-nucleotide non-coding RNA. NCBI's taxonomy places the organism in Eukaryota, Viridiplantae, Streptophyta, Magnoliopsida, Poales, Poaceae. The record is from Rfam.
ACCUUACUCACUCCGUCCAGAAUACUUGUCAUUAAGAUAAAUAAAAGGGGAUGUAUCUAAAUGUAUUUUAGUUCUAAAUACACCCCUUUUUAUCCAUUUUGAUGACAGGUAUUUCCAAACGAAGGGAGUAUAAA